Molecule: ribosomal RNA, 465 nt
Filed under: uncultured bacterium
Lineage: Bacteria
Description: partial 16S ribosomal RNA
Rfam family: Bacterial small subunit ribosomal RNA
Source: RNAcentral
CCUACGGAGUGCAGCAGUGGGGAAUAUUGCGCAAUGGGCGAAAGCCUGACGCAGCGACGCCGCGUGGGGGAUGAAGGUCUUCGGAUCGUAAACCUCUGUCAGCAGGGAAGAACGGUCACUGUGCUAAUCAGCAGUGAAUUGACGGUACCUGCAAAGGAAGCACCGGCUAACUCCGUGCCAGCAGCCGCGGUAAUACGGAGGGUGCGAGCGUUAAUCGGAAUUAAUGGGCGUAAAGCGCUCGUAGGCGGUAUGUCAAGUCAAGGGUGAAAUCCCCGCGCGCAAAGUGGGAACUGCCUGUGAACAUGGCAAACUGGAGUGUGUUAGAGGAUAGUGGAAGUCCAGGUGUAGGAGUGACAUCCGUAGAUAUCUGGAGGAACAUCAGUGGCGAAGGCGACUAUCUGGCACAUAACUGACGCUGAGGAGCGAAAGCGUGGGUAGCAAACAGGAUUAGAUACCCUGGUAGUC